This 497-nucleotide ribosomal RNA is filed under the name uncultured bacterium. RNAcentral describes it as "partial 16S ribosomal RNA". It matches the Rfam family "Bacterial small subunit ribosomal RNA", at positions 28 to 507 of the family's 1533-position model. The record is from RNAcentral.
GAUGAACGCUGGCGGCGUGCCUAAUACAUGCAAGUCGAGCGAACGGACGAGAAGCUUGCUUUUCUGAUGUUAGCGGCGGACGGGUGAGUAACACGUGGAUAACCUACCUAUAACACUGGGAUAACUUCGGGAAACCGGAGCUAAUACCGGAUAAUAUUUUGAACCGCAUGGUUCAAUAGUGAAAGACGGUCUUGCUGUCACUUAUAGAUGGAUCCGCGCUGCAUUAGCUAGUUGGUAAGGUGACGGCUUACCAAGGCAACGAUGCAUAGCCGACCUGAGAGGGUGAUCGGCCACACUGGAACUGAGACACGGUCCAGACUCCUACGGGAGGCAGCAGUAGGGAAUCUUCCGCAAUGGGCGAAAGCCUGACGGAGCAACGCCGCGUGAGUGAUGAAGGUCUUCGGAUCGUAAAACUCUGUUAUUAGGGAAGAACAUAUGUGUAAGUAACUGUGCACAUCUUGACGGUACCUAAUCAGAAAGCCACGGCUAACUACGUG